RNAcentral lists this ribosomal RNA (497 nucleotides) under uncultured bacterium. RNAcentral describes it as "partial 16S ribosomal RNA". It matches the Rfam family "Bacterial small subunit ribosomal RNA", at positions 28 to 507 of the family's 1533-position model. The record is from RNAcentral.
GACGAACGCUGGCGGCGUGCCUAAUACAUGCAAGUUGAGCGCUGAAGGUUGGUACUUGUACCAACUGGAUGAGCAGCGAACGGGUGAGUAACGCGUGGGGAAUCUGCCUUUGAGCGGGGGACAACAUUUGGAAACGAAUGCUAAUACCGCAUAAAAACUUUAAACACAAGUUUUAAGUUUGAAAGAUGCAAUUGCAUCGCUCAAAGAUGAUCCCGCGUUGUAUUAGCUAGUUGGUGAGGUAAAGGCUCACCAAGGCGAUGAUACAUAGCCGACCUGAGAGGGUGAUCGGCCACAUUGGGACUGAGACACGGCCCAAACUCCUACGGGAGGCAGCAGUAGGGAAUCUUCGGCAAUGGACGAAAGUCUGACCGAGCAACGCCGCGUGAGUGAAGAAGGUUUUCGGAUCGUAAAACUCUGUUGGUGGAGAAGAACGUUGGUGAGAGUGGAAAGCUCAUCAAGUGACGGUAACUACCCAGAAAGGGACGGCUAACUACGUG